RNAcentral lists this long non-coding RNA (609 nucleotides) under Rattus norvegicus (Norway rat). RNAcentral's name for it is "long non-coding RNA NONRATT030923". The record is from RNAcentral. Lineage: Eukaryota; Metazoa; Chordata; Mammalia; Rodentia; Muridae.
GGAGCAACAUCCAAGAAACUGAGGCGCUUUAUCAAUUGGAAAUGAAAGAGGUAGUGAGGGGUGGAGAAUCGUGACUGAGGAGCUCCUCCUAGGUAGCCUUCCAGAUACUGGUAGGCCAUGACUUAACCGUUCCUAAUCUUAACCUUAGCUGUGCUGGUUGAGCAUUGUCCUCACAUAGAAAUGAAGAGACUUACUGAAGGUAGAGCCCAGUUUUCAAUUUGGACCAUCCUGUUCCCUCUGCCUUAGUACCAUCAAGCAAGGUGAUUCUUCAAAGUCAACAAAAGCUUCAAAGGAGUCCCUAAUUUCUAGAGGGGUACAAAUGACUACUCUGCUCCAUCUGUUUCUUCCAACAUUGCAGGGUGGCUCCCAGGGAGAAGAGUCAGUGAGUGGUUCCCAGAGAACAUCUAGUAUCUAUGCACGAGAGGCCCUCAUUGAGAUUGACUACGGUGACCUGUGUGAAGAUCUGAAGGUAAGAACUGUGGGUUCAACUGAGGCAUCAACAUCUUCUCAGCUGACUCAAGAAAAGUUAAGUCCAGGUGCACACAGAGAGAUAAAAAUUAUAUUCUUAGGAGGAGAUAUGGAGACAAAGUUUGCAGCAGAGACUGAAGG